GAGUUGUAGGCGCAGCUCCUCCGCUGGGAGGGUGGGGAGGGAGCGCUUCGCUGGCGCCGGGAGUCCUUUCCUUGGCGUUGCAACCUGCAAGUUCCGGUUCAGCCCAGGUGAGCGCCUCCGUCGCACUGUCGUGUCGGAAUUAAAUGCCUCUGGGUUUCUCUCCACGCAUUCCCAUAGGCUCCCCUGGAGAAAGUGGGCUCUUUGUGACCUCUCAGUGCCCUUGUUCCGGCGGGAAAGCUCUGGGCAGCUGUUGCACCUGAUGAACAGCUUUGGACUCUGUGGCCCUAUAUGAAGCCUCGCCCUCCAACCCUGGUACAGCGCGAGCGCACCUUCCUCUGCCCUGGAUAAACCCGGAGUGGUCAGACUAGGUCACGGGGUGCACAGGCAGCUGCGGAAGCCCAGGGGGGCCGCCAGACCCAGCUCAGGGCUCAGGAAAAUUCACAAAGACCAGGCCUUGUCCAAGCGAAAUUCCAUAUUCUUCGCCCUAAACCCACCCCUGUCUCCGUUCAGGCCUAUCUACCGUCUCUUCCACUAAAUGCUCCGGCUUUCCUCCCACGUGUUUAAGACAGUACCUCCGACUCGUCUGGAGUUCUUUUUUCUCAUCCACUUGCCUCCCUCAACCAAGUCUCCGGAGUCCCAUCGAUUGCCUCUUAUCUCCAGAGAGCCACAAUCUACUUCUCCUCCUCUCUACUGCCUUAACUCUCCAAGGAUCCCCUGGAUAACUGUAGGAGCCUCCUGACUGUUCUGCCUGCUCCUGUCCUUGCCACCCUCCCUCUCAUCUCAGGAGCAGCCCACGGGCUUCUGUUAAAAUAUAAAUCAAAUCCUGCCAACCCGUAGCCUAAAAUCAUCCCAGGCUCCACCUUCAAAACAAAAUUCAAGCUCUUCACUUCGCAUGCCUCCAAGAUGCCAUCCCUCUGUGGUCUUCAGCCACAACUCACUCCCCAGCCAACUGGACCUGGCCAGGCCCUGCUCUUUGUGACUUAGCAUUUGCUAUUACCUUUGCAGUUAGCUUUUCUAAUGCCUGGCUCCUUAUCCUGCUCGCCUCAGCUCAAGGCCUUCUCUGAUCGCUCCAGCCUGAGAAACUCCCUCUCCUGUUUCCUCAGUCACACCAUCAAAUAGUUUUCUCAGAUUGCCUUUCAUUUUUGGAAAGCACCCUGGCCAUUUACUUGUGUAUCCAUGGCUUGGCUCUUCCUUAGAAUUGGGGCCUAGAGAGCAGCAGCCUUUCUUACCUUGUGCACUGCUGGGUUCCCAGUGCCUGGGGCAUGCUAGGAGGCACUCACUCAGUGGACAUUUGUAGACUGAGUGGAUGAAAGCUGAGACUGGAAGGUAAGGUCCAGUCACCGCAGCAUCCUGCAUUCGAUGGGUUCCGCCUGGCCAGAAGUGCAGGGGGUGGAGAAGCCCACCAGGCAUUUAUCUGGCUGAGGUUGAGGGGCCAGACCCCAAAGGGACAUAAAGGACCUCAAAUAUCCACUGGCUCAGGGUGGGGAGUCAAAUCAGGGUUUCUAUCAGGGGUGGGACAGACUCUGAUGAGGACCUCAGGAGGUGGAUUCCUGGACUAGGUUGGCUGUAGAGUUAGUGUGGAAGAUGAGUCCUGUCCUGCGGGAAGCCAUCCAUGAAAUGUGUGAGGACCUUUUCAGCAUCAUAGCCAAAGAGAGAGUAGAUCUGGCAUUGGGAACUUCCUGUGGCAGUCCCACCAGGACAGACUGCCCGAAGCAAGUGAACUCCCCCUCUGCUCUGCCAGAAGUUCCUGCGCAGCUCUGGAGAUGGGCGUAACCGCUAGGAACUGAGCAGCCUACCUGCCCCCACCUCUAUCCUGUUUUGGUGAAGAAAGCCUUUGCUGUCUUCUGAUAUAAAUAAAACAAACACAGGCUCCUUUCUUUGGUAGAAGCUGGACCUGUCUGGUCAGCUUUGCCCAUCACUGCCCACUCUUUGAAACUGUGCUCUGUGGUCAUUUCUCCGCACUAUUUUUCUUAGCUUUUCUCAGCCAGCCCAUGCCACCAAAGGGAAACCCACUCCCUCAGGCACGAUGCUGUCCUGCAGAGAUGCUAGGUGGAAGGUGGUGCUACUCUGGGAGGACAGGGAACUGAUCACUGAGAGUCACCUUCAGCCUUGGGAGCUGCACCUGGUCAGUUUGGGCACCAAGAAGAUGUGAAAGAGCCAAUGAUCUUCAGUCAGGCAUUUGGAGGUCCAGGCUGGAAACGUUAAGAUUCAGAGUCACCCAUAAGGAGAAUGAGAAGACGGGUGCUGGGGACAAUCUGAGAACCACAAAGGGGUCUCCCCAAGAGACUGAGUAGGGAGAGAAAUCCAAGGGCAGCAGAGGGAAGACUUGAUCAAGUGCUGGGGGAGAGAAGGUUUGACAGAAUGCAGUGCUCAGCUGUGACAGAUGUGCCCAAUGGUUGUGCAGGCCCUGACCUCCCUCUGUCCUUGUGAGUCCUGCACCUCCUCUCAGGCACUCUGAGCAGCCCUGGAGGGCCAGCCAGGUCGAUGAUCUCCACCGUGCCCCUCUGAUCAGGGCUGUAACAGGGGAGGCUGUGCAACUGGUCCUGAAAGGCACCCCAUCCCUCUAGAAGGGACACAACCUGAUUCUGAGUAUACUUGUUUAUUUCUCUCUGCCCCUGGUAAUCCCUAGGCCUCACCUCUUUGUGGUGCAUGAGUGCAAUUUCAGCAGCUUUUCAGGCGCCGGUGUUCUCUUUAGCCAAAUAUAACCCUCCAGCCCCUGGCCAGAAAAAGCUUCCUCUUGUGCACACCUGUGCCUGGUCCAUUACAGGCAGGGGCGCUGUCCAGGCAGCCUCCCCCCACUUCUCCCUCUGAUCCAAGGGAAGCCAACCCCACGAUGCCCGCCCUUAGGUGAGCCUCCUCCGACCACAAUGAGGGCGCGCUGCUCUGCCUUGAGGCCCAGGUGCGCCCCCUGCUACUGUGUGGCGCCAAGGUGAUGUGGGUGCCUCCGGCAGCAAGGACUCCACGGGGCUGGGCACGUGACGCACACCGCACCGGGACCUCUUGCUGCACCUCGUUGAGGUGGACGAGGGCAUCCACCACUACCCAGACGUGGUGCUGGCGGCCAGGCGGCGCGCUAGGAGCUGCCACUCACCUUCACCAUCUAUGGAGACCUGUUCUGGGGCUUGGACUAGGAACGCAGUAGCAGUUGCCGGUAGCACCACGGAGCUCCUGCUGCACCUUCUGCAAGAUGGUGUGGCACGUCUCCUGGGAGCCACGCACAUUGUGACGCGUGAGCGCCGCGUAACUGGAAGGGUGUGGUCAGGAGUUUGCGAGGAAGAAAAGGCGCCGAGAGGAAACUGGGUGCAUGCCCAAGGAGUAAAAAGGAGACCCUGCGCGUAACCUAAGAGGAGGAGCCCAAUAAAGUGAUGGCAUAUGCGCAUGCUCCAGUUUGGGGCUGGUGCCCACUGAAGAUUCUCGGAAGGAUGCGCGCCUCCCCGAGAUGGAGUAGGACAGGCUUUAAAACAUCUGAUCUUGCCCUCUUUCUUGGUCCACGCAAAUAGAGGGGUAAAGGAGCCUUCUAGGGGCUAGCGAUGGAGUUCUCUACUUAAAAAAGACAUUUUGUCAUUUUUUAAAAGGCUUUUGUGGUUUUGUG
Molecule: long non-coding RNA, 3592 nt
Filed under: Marmota monax (woodchuck)
Lineage: Eukaryota; Metazoa; Chordata; Mammalia; Rodentia; Sciuridae
Source: RNAcentral